RNAcentral lists this ribosomal RNA (218 nucleotides) under uncultured bacterium. Its description in RNAcentral is "partial 16S ribosomal RNA". It matches the Rfam family "Bacterial small subunit ribosomal RNA", at positions 524 to 742 of the family's 1533-position model. The record is from RNAcentral.
GACGUAGGGCGCGAGCGUUGUCCGGAUUUAUUGGGCGUAAAGAGCUCGUAGGCGGCUUGUCGCGUCGACUGUGAAAACCCGCGGCUCAACUGCGGGCUUGCAGCCGAUACGGGCAGGCUAGAGUUCGGUAGGGAGACUGGAAUUCCUGGUGUAGCGGUGAAAUGCGCAGAUAUCGUAAGGAAGACCAGUGGCGAAGGCGGGUCUCUGGACAGUUCCUG